CAACUAUCGGGACAAAUACGUUGGAGACGUCGGGAAGGAAGGACCACCUGAGUGUUGCUGAGCCAAAAUAGAAUGAUGUCAUUCAGCCUUCAAAUGCUGUUGGCGGUGUUUACACUUCUGACCCCAGUAGUAACAAUUGCUCCUACGACUGAUAUGGUGGGUAAAAUGGUGUUUUGGAACCUAGAACAGCACUUCCCCGGGUGUCACCUGGUGCUGAUCACAACACAACACUCACGCGUGUCCUCCAGUAUAAUCCGACACAUGGGUGUGGGUGUUGCGGCUGGCGUGGUAGUGGAGGCAGGGUGGGUGUUGUCUCAGGACCAGCUGACCCAGGACCACCUCCUGCAGGGGCUGUGGGAGGACACCAGAACCACCUGCCGGGCCCUCAUCCUUGACCUCACCACCAGUAACAAUACUAACCUCGUGCUCGGCUUGGUUGAAUCUUCAAACUUGUGGCAGAGAUCAUAAACGGUGGUAGCAGUGGUGGGUGGGAGGGCAGGAGUGAAGGACGUCCUCCUCCACCAUAGUCUCCGCAACACCGUUCACGGCCUCUACCUGGCCCUCCACGACCUCCCCCUUCACACCCCACCGCGCCACGGUAAUUCACUCCUCAGG
Homarus americanus (American lobster) is the source of this 615-nucleotide long non-coding RNA. RefSeq lists it as uncharacterized. The record is from RefSeq and is a predicted model, not a curated record. The transcript is spliced from 4 exons. Lineage: Eukaryota; Metazoa; Arthropoda; Malacostraca; Decapoda; Nephropidae.